AUGAACGCUGGCGGCGUGCCUAAUCCAUGCCAGUCGAGCGAACGGACGAGAAGCUUGCUUCUCUGAUGUUAGCGGCGGACGGGUGAGUAACACGUGGAUAACCUACCUAUAAGACUGGGAUAACUUCGGGAAACCGGAGCUAAUACCGGAUAAUAUUUUGAACCGCAUGGUUCAAAAGUGAAAGACGGUCUUGCUGUCACUUAUAGAUGGAUCCGCGCUGCAUUAGCUAGUUGGUAAGGUAACGGCUUACCAAGGCAACGAUGCAUAGCCGACCUGAGAGGGUGAUAGGCCACACUGGAACUGAGACACGGUCCAGACUCCUACGGGAGGCAGCAGUAGGGAAUCUUCCGCAAUGGGCGAAAGCCUGACGGAGCAACGCCGCGUGAGUGAUGAAGGUCUUCGGAUCGUAAAACUCUGUUAUUAGGGAAGAACAUAUGUGUAAGUAACUGUGCACAUCUUGACGGUACCUAAUCAGAAAGCCACGGCUAACUACGUG
Molecule: ribosomal RNA, 496 nt
Filed under: uncultured bacterium
Lineage: Bacteria
Description: partial 16S ribosomal RNA
Rfam family: Bacterial small subunit ribosomal RNA
Source: RNAcentral